RNAcentral lists this ribosomal RNA (402 nucleotides) under Triticum aestivum (bread wheat). RNAcentral's name for it is "partial small subunit ribosomal RNA". The record is from RNAcentral. Lineage: Eukaryota; Viridiplantae; Streptophyta; Magnoliopsida; Poales; Poaceae.
AUGGGAACCUUCGACGCGGCCGUCUUCGGCCUGGACGCGGCGCCUGACCUCCGCCUCGCCGCGCACCAGUACAACCAGCUCCUCCACCUGCUCGCCUCCGCGGACGGCGCCGUCUUCCCCGUUCACCCGGCCACCGCCGCGCGCCGCGUGUUCGCCGGCAUGCUAGAGGCCAGGGCGCCCCCGUCCGAGGCCACCAUCACUUCGCUCGCCUGCAUCUUCGCUGCAGAUGCCGAGGGCGCCUACGAAGCCUUCAGGCUCCUCUCCUCCAUGGGGCAGAAGUACGGCCUCGCGCUGCGCCUCCGGUCCUACAGCCCCGUGCUUGCCGCGUUCCGGCGCGCCGGGGAGGCUGGCAAGGCAUACGCGGUCGAGGCCCACAUGGCGGCCUCCGUUGCAUCGCCGUAA